This 497-nucleotide ribosomal RNA is filed under the name uncultured bacterium. RNAcentral describes it as "partial 16S ribosomal RNA". It matches the Rfam family "Bacterial small subunit ribosomal RNA", at positions 28 to 507 of the family's 1533-position model. The record is from RNAcentral.
GAUGAACGCUGGCGGCGUGCCUAAUACAUGCAAGUCGAGCGAACGGACGAGAAGCUUGCUUCUCUGAUGUUAGCGGCGGACGGGUGAGUAACACGUGGAUAACCUACCUAUAAGACUGGGAUAACUUCGGGAAACCGGAGCUAAUACCGGAUAAUAUUUUGAACCGCAUGGUUCAAAAGUGAAAGACGGUCUUGCUGUCACUUCUAGCUGGAUCCGCGCUGCAUUAGCUAGUUGGUAAGGUAACGGCUUACCAAGGCAACGAUGCAUAGCCGACCUGAGAGGGUGAUAGGCCACACUGGAACUGAGACACGGUCCAGACUCCUACGGGAGGCAGCAGUAGGGAAUCUUCCGCAAAGGGCGAAAGCCUGACGGAGCAACGCCGCGUGAGUGAUGAAGGUCUUCGGAUCGUAAAACUCUGUUAUUAGGGAAGAACAUAUGUGUAAGUAACUGUGCACAUCGUGACGGUACCUAAUCAGAAAGCCACGGCUAACUACGUG